AAUUGUGAAUUUUGAGCUCAACCUCUCAAACUCGAUGGGAUAGAAAAAGUUAUUGUGCCUAAAGCAACAAAAUGAUUAAUUCACUGAAAUUCAAACUUUUUGGAAUUCUGGAUCUUUUCAUGUCUUUUAUUGAAACCUUGAAUUUUGUAUGUCAGUCAAAGUUUAGGUGUUUCUGCUUUUAUUUAUAUGCAGGAUUACUUUAUUUAAGUGUCCGGUUAGAUAGUUUAGGAAAUGUUAAGGUGCUUUGCCAGUGUUUUUUAUCUAGAUAUUUAAGGCUUAAGUUGUUUAAUUAGCUAGAAUGGGCUAGUCUCAGAAUAUAAAGGAAAUAUUAGAAAGUUAGGUAGUUCAAGGUAUCAAAUAUGGAAAGAAAGGCCUGGGAAGUAGAGCACCUUGAAGUGAUAACAUAAAUGAAACAAUUUGAUAUGCUUCAUAUGGUUUGAAGAGGCAGACAACACAUCAUUUAUGAUAUUUGUAUGAUUAGUUUUGUCUAUUAAUCUAUUGGUGUGAGAAAACUGUGAUCGAUUAAGGAAAAUGCAAUCCUUUGCCAUUACUGUAAAACAAAUUUUGUUGUCCAUCAACUUCCUUGUAUUAAGACUCAAUUUGUUUUGGGCUGUUAGCACUUCUAAAUAAUGGUUAAUGUUAGCAUUCUAA
RNAcentral lists this unclassified non-coding RNA (651 nucleotides) under Hevea brasiliensis (rubber tree). The record is from RNAcentral. Lineage: Eukaryota; Viridiplantae; Streptophyta; Magnoliopsida; Malpighiales; Euphorbiaceae.